This 1406-nucleotide ribosomal RNA is filed under the name uncultured bacterium. RNAcentral's name for it is "16S ribosomal RNA". It matches the Rfam family "Bacterial small subunit ribosomal RNA". The record is from RNAcentral.
AGAGUUUGAUCCUGGCUCAGGAUGAACGCUAGCGACAGGCCUAACACAUGCAAGUCGAGGGGCAUCGGGGCGAGGAGCAAUCCUUGCCGCCGGCGACCGGCGCACGGGUGAGUAACGCGUAUGCGACCUGCCCGUUGCAGGGGGAUAAUCGGGAGAAAUCCCGUCUAAUACCGCGUAACGCCGCGGGGCUGCAUGGCCCUGCGGCCAAAGGGAGCGAUUCCGGCAACGGAUGGGCAUGCGUGACAUUAGCUAGUUGGCGGGGCAACGGCCCACCAAGGCGACGAUGUCUAGGGGUUCUGAGAGGAAGGUCCCCCACACUGGUACUGAGACACGGACCAGACUCCUACGGGAGGCAGCAGUGAGGAAUAUUGGUCAAUGGGCGCGAGCCUGAACCAGCCAAGUCGCGUGAGGGAUGACGGCCCUACGGGUUGUAAACCUCUUUUGUCGGGGAGCAAAUUCCGCCACGUGUGGCGGAGUCGAGAGUACCCGAAGAAAAAGCAUCGGCUAACUCCGUGCCAGCAGCCGCGGUAAUACGGAGGAUGCGAGCGUUAUCCGGAUUUAUUGGGUUUAAAGGGUGCGUAGGCGGACUGUCAAGUCAGCGGUAAAAUACGGGGGCUCAACCUCCGCCCGCCGUUGAAACUGACGGUCUUGAGUGGGCGAGAAGUAUGCGGAAUGCGUGGUGUAGCGGUGAAAUGCAUAGAUAUCACGCAGAACUCCGAUUGCGAAGGCAGCAUACCGGCGCCCAACUGACGCUGAAGCACGAAAGCGUGGGUAUCGAACAGGAUUAGAUACCCUGGUAGUCCACGCAGUAAACGAUGAAUACUAGCUGUCCGGGGCGAAUGAGCCCUGGGUGGCACAGCGAAAGCGUUAAGUAUUCCACCUGGGGAGUACGCCGGCAACGGUGAAACUCAAAGGAAUUGACGGGGGCCCGCACAAGCGGAGGAACAUGUGGUUUAAUUCGAUGAUACGCGAGGAACCUUACCCGGGCUCAAACGACACAGGAACGUACCUGAAAGGGUUCGGCUCUACGGAGCCUGUGUCGAGGUGCUGCAUGGUUGUCGUCAGCUCGUGCCGUGAGGUGUCGGCUUAAGUGCCAUAACGAGCGCAACCCCCAUCGACAGUUGCUAACAGGUCAGGCUGAGGACUCUGUCGAGACUGCCGGCGCAAGCUGCGAGGAAGGCGGGGAUGACGUCAAAUCAGCACGGCCCUUACGUCCGGGGCGACACACGUGUUACAAUGGCAGGUACAGCGGGAAGCCACCUGGCGACAGGGAGCGGAACCCGAAAGCCUGUCUCAGUUCGGAUUGGAGUCUGCAACCCGACUCCAUGAAGCUGGAUUCGCUAGUAAUCGCGCAUCAGCCACGGCGCGGUGAAUACGUUCCCGGGCCUUGCACACACCGCCCGUCA